AAGCAUAGGAGGAGGAGGGGGUCACUCGUGGGUGGAGGCGUGGAGCCCUCCUAUGCCGGGCCCGGCCCACCAGUGGGGCCUUGGACCGGGUCCGGCAUAGAAAUUUCCCAAACUAUAUACUAUCGAACGCCGAACGGUACCGUGCGGUUCAGAGAGAGGGGGAGAGAGAGAGAUGGAGGAGGGACUAACAGAGGAAGAAAGGAGGGCUCUGCGGGGAAGCAAAUUCGCGCCGCUUCCUACACCUUCGCUUUCCAAACCCAGGUUAGCUCAUCCUGGCGGGCCGUUGACAACAAACAAGGCUGCUGCCCUGGCGAAGUUCCUCGAAAGAAAACUCCAGGAGCCUAAUGGAUUGGCUUCCAUAAAGCCAGAACUACUUGAUCUAGCUGUCAAGAAUGCGAAAUAUACUGUACAAGCAAGCGGGACUUCACAUUCUGGAAGAGUAGUUCGACAUGUGGACUCCUUUGGUGACUCUGAGGAGAAUUCUUUGGAAGAUGGAAGGGAAAUGGUUCAGUCAAAGGAACACCACAAAAAGGAGAAGAAGAAGAAAAAGGAGAAGAAGAAGAAGAAGAAGGGGAAAAAGGAAAAACAGAAGACAUCUGAGGGCGAUGCAGAUGCUGUAGAGAGGCGGCCUAAAAAGUUGAAAUUGUGACUAUGCAUAUAUCUGGUCCCAGCCCCACGUAAAAGACAUUGAAGGCUUUGACAAACUAGUGAUUAUCAGAAAACCAGCUGCUCCAUCGUUCAAUCAUGAGUAGAACUAGGGAGAAUUCCAAUGAAAUAUCAUUCAAGGAAUUCUGUUUCUAAAUUUCUUCCAAAGUUUUGUCUGAUUGGAUACCGAGACAUGCGACUGUCCAGAUUCCAGUGCUUCUGCAGCAUACAGUGCAAGAUUUCCACAGCGUUUUCUAUGGAAAACAGUCCACCCAAGAAUCAAGAUUCAUGAAUGAUUGUGGAAGGUCUGCUCUUGCUUGUGCAAUUUGCUACGCUUCCAAAUUUUGAACAGAAUCCCAAACUAGUUAACGCUGCUUGAUGGGCAAUUUCACAGUUCAUUUCUACAAGAAUAUGAUAAAUUAAGACGUGCGACCAGAGUAUACCAGAAGCUGAGCUGCGCCUGAUCAAAGCCUCUUUAGAUGUGUUCAAUAAGCUAUCGAUGAUUGGGAAUAUAGAUGAA
Diospyros lotus (date-plum) is the source of this 1165-nucleotide RNA transcript. It is a transcript of the gene named protein PXR1, with no coding region annotated. The transcript is spliced from 6 exons. Lineage: Eukaryota; Viridiplantae; Streptophyta; Magnoliopsida; Ericales; Ebenaceae. The record is from RefSeq and is a predicted model, not a curated record.